Molecule: long non-coding RNA, 4598 nt
Filed under: Homo sapiens (human)
Lineage: Eukaryota; Metazoa; Chordata; Mammalia; Primates; Hominidae
Description: HSALNT0030597
Source: RNAcentral
ACCCUGGCAGGAUUGAAGACUUGUGGGAAAUUUCCAGCCUUGGUUUAGGGUCCUUUAUGUUUUCACAGCCUUUCUUCCUUGGAAAGGUAGGCUAACCUUUUCAUAUUAUUUUCUGUUUUGGAAACUAGAAACCUUUCUCAAUUGUAUAAAAUAAACAGAAAAAUCAGUGAGUAUGAAUACGGAAUCAUUUAUUCAUUUUUAUUUUAAUUUCUCCUUGAUUAUUAAAGAUAUAUUUUAAUAUACUCUUUUUUAUUUAAUUUUUUAAUUGGCUGACAAAAUUAUAUGUGUUUUUCACAUACAAUUUAAUGUUUUGAAGUAUAUAUACAUUGUAAAAUAGUUCAAUCUAGCUAAUUAACAAUUGCAUUACUUAACACAGUUAUCAUUUUUGAGGUAAGAACACUUAACAUCCAUUCUCUGGGUUUUUCAAGAAUACAAUAUACUGUCAUUAACUAUAGUCACCAUGCUCUACAAUAGAUCUCUUGAACUUAUUUCUCCUAUCUAGUUGUAUUUAUGUUUCCUUUUACCAUCAUCUCCCAACCCCUCUUCCACCUAACCAUGUAGCCCCUGGAAACCAUCAGUCUGCUAUCUACUUCUACAAGAUUAACUUUUUUAAAUUCCACAUAUGAGUGAAAUCAUGUGAUAUUUGUCUUACUGUGCCUGGAUUAUUUCACCUGAUAUAAUGUUAUCCAGGUUCAUCCAUGUUAUCACAAAUGAUAGUAUUUCCUUCUUUUUCUCACUAAAUAGCAUUUCAUUGUGUGUGUGUGUGUGUGUGUGUGUGUGUGUACACACAUUAUAUAUGUCACAUCUCUGUAUUCAUCCAUCUGUUAAAUAUACUAAUAAAGAAGAAAAAUAAAGAUUACGCUGAAAUAUAAUAUUAUGAUUUAGUAUAUAUAUGGUUAUAUUUCUUUGGGUUUACUCUAGCAUGGUUAUUAAACUCUCAAAGUUAAAGAGCAUAUUCAAAAUGUAAUGCCUUCCCUGAACAUGCUUUAUGUUCACAUUAUCUUAUUUACUUUUACUUAUCCACUACAUUUAAUCAGACGUGAAAUCCUCUGGUUUCAUCCUUUUAAGGUGUUCCAAAUUUUUCUCUUAGGUUUUAUUACACAGCCAUACACUAAAAAUUGUACUUGGAUUGCCGCAGCUACAUCCUAGUUUAUCUCCCUUAUUUUCAUCUGUGACUUCAUCUCCACCAGAUGAAUAUAGUUAACAUACUGGAAGAAAGUGAUUCUUUUCUGUUAAUGCCACUCCAGAAUGUUUUAAGAUUUGACGUUAUCUUGUCAGGCCUCUGAGCCCAAGCCUGCACAUAUACAUCCAGAUGGCCAGAGGCAACCGAAAACUACAAAAGAAGUAAAACAGCCAGCUCCUGUCUUAAAUGAUUGACCAACCUUACGACAUUCCAUUAUGACUUGUUCCUGCCCUGCCCCAACUGAUAGAUUGAUCGACCUCGUGACAUUCUUCUUCUGGACAAUGAGUCUUAUGAUCUCCCCACCAUGCACCUUGUGACCUCCUCUUCUGCUGACAAUAGAUAACCACCUUUCACUGUAACUUUCCACUGCUUACCCCAGUCCUGUAAAACUGCCCCACCCCUAUCUCCCUUUGCUGACUCUCUUUUCAGACUAAGCCCACUUUUACCCAAGUGAAAUAAACAGCCUUGCUGCUCACACAAAGUCUAUUGGUGGACUCUCUUCACAUGGACACGCUUGACAUUUGGUGCCUUGACUCAGAUCAGGGGACCUCCCUUGGGAGAUCAAUCCCCUGUCCUGCUGCUGUUUGCUCUGUCAGAAUAUCCACCUAUGACCUUGGGUCCUCAGACCAGCCCAAGAAACACCUCACCAAUUUUAAAUCGGAUGUGGAUGAUGACAGCUGAGUGCAGAUAUGCCUCAAAUUCUUCUCAAGGCAGCACUUCAGGAGGCCCCAACUGAUCCAUCAGAGUUAGCCUGUGAGAUAAGAUUUACUGGCCAUCCCCGAAGCUGCUAAAACUCUGCUAUCAAGUGACCUGUGACCUUGGGAAAAUAUAUUUUUUGUACUUUUAUUUUUCUUCAAAGAGCAAUGUAGCUAAUUAUAGCUACCUCCCAUGAUUGAUGUGAAGAACACAUGAAAUAAAUUGCAAGAAACAGCCCAAUUUGUUAUACCAUAGUUGGAAAAGGCUUGUGGAAUGAAUCCAUUGAAACAUGCCUAAAUGGUACUUGAAUUUAAAAACAAAAAACUUUUAAAUUUUAACUUAAAACUUGAUAAUAUUAUAAUUUUAGGAUUUCUCUUUUUCUUUUAAUUGUGGCAAAAUAUGCAUAUAAAAUUUACUGUCUUAACCAUCUUUAAGUACACAGUUCAGUGACAUUAACUAUAUUUACAUUGCUAAGUAACCAAUCUCUAGGAAUUUUUCAUCUUGAAAAACUAAAACUCUAUAUUCAUUAAACAAACCUGUAUUAACCCCUCUUUUCAGCCCCUGGAAACUAGCAUUCUACUUUCUAUUUCUGUGAAUUAGAUUACUUUAGACACUUAUGUAACUGGAGUCAUACAGUAUGUGUCUUUUCAUGACUGACUUAUUUCACUUAGCAUAAUGUCUUCGGGUUUUAUCCAUGUUGUAGUAGGUGACGGGAUUUCCUUCCCUUUUAAGGCUGAAUAACAUUCCACUGAAUGUACAUACCAUAUUUUCUUUAUCUUUAUUCCACUGAAUAUACAUCCCACAUUUUCUUUAUCUUUAUUCCACUGAUUAAUAUUCUACUGAAUGUACAUACCACAUUUUCUUCAUCUUUAUUCAUUAGUCAGUGAAUAUUUGUGCUGCUUCUACCUCUUCACUAUUGUGAAUAAUGCUGCUAUUAACAUGGCUGUACAAAUAUCUCUUUGAGACCCUGCUUUCAAGUAUUUUGGAUGUAUACCUGGAAGUGGAAUUGCUAAAUCAUUUGGUAAUUCUACUUUUAAUUUUUUAAGGAAACACCACACUUUUUUUAUCUCUAGUAGCUGCACUAUUUUACAUUCCUACCAGUAGUACAUAAAGAUACCAAUGUUUCCACAUCCUCACCAACACGUGUUAUAUUCUGAGAUUUUUCUCAUUUUUUUUGUUUUGUUUUGUUUGAUAAUAACCAUCCUGUUAAGUACAAAGUCAUAUCUAAUUAUGGGCUUGAUUUGCAUUUCCACAAAGAUUAGUGAUGUUGAGCAUCUUUCAUACGUAUUCAGGCCACUCAUAUAUCCUCUUUGAAGAAACGUCUAUAUUAAGUUCUUGUCCCAUUUUUUAUUUGGGUUGUUUUAUUGUUGUUGAGUUGUUGAAGUUCUUUAUACAUGAUAUUUUGGUUUUUAACCCUUUAUCAGAUAUAUAAUUGCAAAUAUUGUCUCCCACCCCAUAGGUUGCCUUUUCACAGUGUUAAUUGUGAUCUUGGAUGAACAGAAAGUUUUAAUUUUGAUGUGGUUAAAUUUACCUAGUUUUACUUCUGCUGCCUGUGCUUCCAAAAAAUCAUUGCCCAGACCAAUGUCAUGGAGAUUUUCCCAUAUGUUUUCUUCUAGUAGUUUUAAAGUUUCAUGUCUCAUAGUUAACUCUCAAAUGGAUUUUGAGUUGAUUUGCAUAUAUAGUAUGAGAUAAGGUUCUAAUCUCAUUCUUCUGCAUGUGGAUAUCCAGUUUUCCCAACACCAUUUGUUGGACAAACUACACUUUCCCCCUUGAAUGAUCUUGGCACCCUUGUCAAAAAUAAGUUGACUGUAUACGCAAGGGCUUAUUCCUGAUAUCUAUUAUAUUCUACUGGUCUAGAUGUCUAUCUUUAUGCCAGUAUCACACUGUUUUGAUUAUUGUAGCUUUGUUAUAAGUUUUGAAAUAAGGAAAUAUGAGACCUGCAAAUGUGUUCCUUUUCUUUAAGACUGCUUUGGCUAUUCAGGGUCUCUUGCAAACUUACAUAAAUUUUUGAGUGAAUAUUUUCUGGAAUUUUUAUUUGAAUUAUAAAUUUCCAAAACAAAAAUCAAAACAAAAGCAAAAGGUUUUUUUGGUUUUUUGGUCUCAAUUAAGGAAUUAGUUGGGGUGGCUUGUAAUUCUCAAAGUAAAAAGAUAUACAUUUUAAUUACUGUAUAAACAUUUUUUAAAAUCCAAAUGUUAAAUACAAUUAAACUAUUAGGAAGAUUUGUUCUCUUUCCCAGGUUUCUGAUUUUUUUCCUUUUCCUGUACCUCAAGCUCUAUAUUAUGACACAAAAAUAUGUAAUGCUAACUGCAUCCUUUCUGCUUCAUUAAAAAAGAAAAGAGAGAAAUGUAAAUGUUCUAAAGUACUGUCAAUUCAGAUGUAUCAAUUAGGUUUGGAAAUGUGAAAGGAGUUAAAUCUUAAAAUAGAGGAAAAAAUAAAAAUAAGGAAACCCCUUUAAUAAUAAAAAUCUAAAAGCUAAAUUUUCUCAGUGAAAGAUUUACUUAAAGUAAAAUAUGUAUGUGUUACUAAGAUGAACUCUGAUUUAUUACUGAAUGCUGUAUAUGAUUUCCCUUUGCAUUUUACCAUUGUAUAUAUAUUAGCAUUGUUUUCUAUGCAUUAUUUAUGUAUCACCUGUGUGAUUACUUAAAAUAUUAAAGAGGAAGGACAUGAGAGAUCCUGGCAAUGUAACAUUAUGCUUCAGUAUCAUCUUAACAGAGCGGA